Molecule: small RNA, 1590 nt
Filed under: Pan troglodytes (chimpanzee)
Lineage: Eukaryota; Metazoa; Chordata; Mammalia; Primates; Hominidae
Description: processed transcript
Source: RNAcentral
CUUCUCCAACCUGCACCCAGGCACCACCUACCUAUUCUCCGUGCGGGCCCGCACAGGCAAAGGCUUCGGCCAGGCGGCACUCACUGAGAUAACCACUAACAUCUCUGCUCCCAGCUUUGAUUAUGCCGACAUGCCGUCACCCCUGGGCGAGUCUGAGAACACCAUCACCGUGCUGCUGAGGCCGGCACAGGGCCGCGGUGCGCCCAUCAGUGUGUACCAGGUGAUUGUGGAGGAGGAGCGGGCGCGGAGGCUGCGGCGGGAGCCAGGUGGACAGGACUGCUUCCCAGUGCCAUUGACCUUCGAGGCGGCGCUGGCCCGAGGCCUGGUGCACUACUUCGGGGCCGAACUGGCGGCCAGCAGUCUACCUGAGGCCAUGCCCUUUACCGUGGGUGACAACCAGACCUACCGAGGCUUCUGGAACCCACCACUUGAGCCUAGGAAGGCCUAUCUCAUCUACUUCCAGGCAGCAAGCCACCUGAAGGGGGAGACCCGGCUGAAUUGCAUCCGCAUUGCCAGGAAAGCUGCCUGCAAGGAAAGCAAGCGGCCCCUGGAGGUGUCCCAGAGAUCGGAGGAGAUGGGGCUUAUCCUGGGCAUCUGUGCAGGGGGGCUUGCUGUCCUCAUCCUUCUCCUGGGUGCCAUCAUUGUCAUCAUCCGCAAGGGGAGAGACCACUAUGCCUACUCCUACUACCCGAAGCCGGUGAACAUGACCAAGGCCACCGUCAACUACCGCCAGGAGAAGACACACAUGAUGAGCGCCGUGGACCGCAGCUUCACAGACCAGAGCACCCUGCAGGAGGACGAGCGGCUGGGCCUGUCCUUCAUGGACACCCAUGGCUACAGCACCCGGGGAGACCAGCGCAGCGGUGGGGUCACUGAGGCCAGCAGCCUCCUGGGGGGCUCCCCGAGGCGUCCCUGUGGCCGGAAGGGCUCCCCAUACCACACGGGGCAGCUGCACCCUGCGGUGCGUGUCGCAGACCUUCUGCAGCACAUCAACCAGAUGAAGACGGCCGAGGGUUACGGCUUCAAGCAGGAGUAUGAGAGCUUCUUUGAAGGCUGGGACGCCACAAAGAAGAAAGACAAGGUCAAGGGCAGCCGGCAGGAGCCAAUGCCUGCCUAUGAUCGGCACCGAGUGAAACUGCACCCGAUGCUGGGAGACCCCAAUGCCGACUACAUUAAUGCCAACUACAUAGAUGGUUACCACAGGUCAAACCACUUCAUAGCCACUCAAGGGCCGAAGCCUGAGAUGGUCUACGACUUCUGGCGUAUGGUGUGGCAGGAGCACUGUUCCAGCAUCGUCAUGAUCACCAAGCUGGUCGAGGUGAAAUGCUCACGGUAUUGGCCGGAGGACUCAGACACCUACGGGGACAUCAAGAUUACGCUGGUGAAGACAGAGACCCUGGCUGAGUAUGUCGUGCGCACUUUUGCCCUGGAGCGGAGAGGCUACUCUGCCCGGCACGAGGUCCGCCAGUUCCACUUCACAGCGUGGCCAGAGCAUGGCGUCCCCUACCACGCCACGGGGCUGCUGGCUUUCAUCCGGCGCGUGAAGGCCUCCACCCCACCUGAUGCCGGGCCCAUUGUCAUCCACUGCAG